UGGGGAAUAUUGCGCAAUGGGCGAAAGCCUGACGCAGCGACGCCGCGUGAGGGAUGAAGGCCUUCGGGUUGUAAACCUCUUUCAGCAGGGAAGAAGCGAGAGUGACGGUACCUGCAGAAGAAGCACCGGCUAACUACGUGCCAGCAGCCGCGGUAAUACGUAGGGUGCAAGCGUUGUCCGGAAUUAUUGGGCGUAAAGAGCUCGUAGGCGGUUUGUCGCGUCUGCUGUGAAAACUCGGGGCUCAACUCCGAGCUUGCAGUGGGUACGGGCAGACUAGAGUGCGGUAGGGGAGACUGGAAUUCCUGGUGUAGCGGUGAAAUGCGCAGAUAUCAGGAGGAACACCGGUGGCGAAGGCGGGUCUCUGGGCCGUAACUGACGCUGAGGAGCGAAAGCAUGGGGAGCGAACAGGAUUAGAUAGCCCUGGUAGUCCAUGCCGUAAACGUUGGGCGCUAGGUGUGGGGCUCUUUCCACGAGUUCUGUGCCGCAGCUAACGCAUUAAGCGCCCCGCCUGGGGAGUACGGCCGCAAGGCUAAAACGUCAAAUGAAUUGACGGGGUCAUAGCU
RNAcentral lists this ribosomal RNA (563 nucleotides) under uncultured bacterium. Its description in RNAcentral is "partial 16S ribosomal RNA". It matches the Rfam family "Bacterial small subunit ribosomal RNA", at positions 355 to 926 of the family's 1533-position model. The record is from RNAcentral.